This 421-nucleotide ribosomal RNA is filed under the name uncultured bacterium. RNAcentral describes it as "partial 16S ribosomal RNA". It matches the Rfam family "Bacterial small subunit ribosomal RNA", at positions 360 to 773 of the family's 1533-position model. The record is from RNAcentral.
AAUAUUGGACAAUGGGGGCAACCCUGAUCCAGCCAUGCCGCGUGUGUGAAGAAGGUAUUCGGAUUGUAAUGCACUGUAAGUUGGGAGGAAGGGCUUUAGGUUAAUACCCUGAAGUCUUGACGUUACCCGCAGAAUAAGCACCGGCUACCUCUGUGCCAGCAGCCGCGGUAAUACAGUGGGUGCAAGCGUUAAUCGGAAUUACUGGGCGUAAAGCGCGCGUAGGUGGUUCAGUAAGAUGGGUGUGAAAUCCCCGGGCUUAACCUGGGAACUGCUUUCAUAACUGCUGAGCUAGAGUACGGCAGAGGGUGGUGGAAUUUCCUGUGUAGCGGUGAAAUGCGUAGAUAUAGGAAGGAACACCAGUGGCGAAGGCGACUACCUGGACUGAUACUGACACUGAGGUGCGAAAGCGUGGGGAGCAAAC